Small nuclear RNA from Peromyscus californicus insignis, 108 nucleotides. The record is from RefSeq and is a predicted model, not a curated record. Lineage: Eukaryota; Metazoa; Chordata; Mammalia; Rodentia; Cricetidae.
CCAAUUUGCCUCAUUGUCUCAUUUAAAAAUGACAUCAUUUUACAGAGAAGAUUAGCAUGGCCCCUGCACAAGGAUGACACGCAAAUUCGUGAAGCAUUUCAUAUUUAA